Molecule: ribosomal RNA, 165 nt
Filed under: Camptophora hylomeconis
Lineage: Eukaryota; Fungi; Ascomycota; Eurotiomycetes; Chaetothyriales; Chaetothyriaceae
Description: partial large subunit ribosomal RNA
Rfam family: Eukaryotic large subunit ribosomal RNA
Source: RNAcentral
CGGCAAAAGCUCAAAUUUGAAAUCUGGCUCUUUCAGAGUCCGAGUUGUAAUUUGUAGAGGAUAUUUCGGACACCGCCCCAGGUUAAAUUUCUUGGAACAGAAUGUCAUAGAGGGUGAGAACCCCGUCUUGACCUGGUGGUAGGGUCCAUGUGAAAUUCCUUCGAC